GCUGGGGUAGCUUAAACAAAGCAUAACACUGAAGAUGUUAAGAUGGGCCUUGAAAAGCCCCGCUAGCA
Molecule: transfer RNA, 68 nt
Filed under: Nematalosa nasus (Bloch's gizzard shad)
Lineage: Eukaryota; Metazoa; Chordata; Actinopteri; Clupeiformes; Clupeidae
Description: tRNA-Phe
Rfam family: tRNA
About the family: Transfer RNA (tRNA) molecules are approximately 80 nucleotides in length.
Source: RNAcentral